RNAcentral lists this long non-coding RNA (456 nucleotides) under Homo sapiens (human). RNAcentral describes it as "non-protein coding lnc-DEF8-2:17". The record is from RNAcentral. Lineage: Eukaryota; Metazoa; Chordata; Mammalia; Primates; Hominidae.
AAUCAAAUUGGAAAUUAUGGAAUUUGUGAAUUUCCUGAAGAAUCCCAAGCAGUAUCAGGACUUAGGAGCAAAAAUUCCAAAGGGAGCCAUGCUCACUGGUCCUCCUGGUACCGGCAAGACCCUUCUUGCCAAAGCAACUGCAGGGGAGGCCACUGUGCCCUUCAUCACUGUGAACGGGUCUGAGUUCCUGGAAAUGUUUAUUGGCGUUGGGCCAGCAAGGGGUUCAACUCUGCCACCAACGUCGUGGUGUUGGCUGGCACCAACCGCCCUGACGUCCUGGACCCGGCCCUCAUGCGGCCUGGCCGGUUUCAUCGCCAGAUUUACACUGGUCCCCCUUACAUUAAAGGCAGGUCCUCCAUCUUUAAGGUCCACCUGCGCCCACUGAAGCUGGACAAGAGCCUCAAUAAGGACACCCUGGCGAGGAAGCUGGCAGUGCUCACCCCAGGCUUCCCUGGU